Molecule: ribosomal RNA, 109 nt
Filed under: Pteropus alecto (black flying fox)
Lineage: Eukaryota; Metazoa; Chordata; Mammalia; Chiroptera; Pteropodidae
Source: RNAcentral
GUCUAUGGCCAUGCCACCCUGAACUUGCCUGAUCUCAGAAGUUAAGCAGGGUCGGUCCUGGUUAGUACUCGGAUGGGAGACCCCCUAGGAAGACCAGGUGCUGUAGGCU